RNAcentral lists this ribosomal RNA (558 nucleotides) under Triticum aestivum (bread wheat). RNAcentral describes it as "partial small subunit ribosomal RNA". The record is from RNAcentral. Lineage: Eukaryota; Viridiplantae; Streptophyta; Magnoliopsida; Poales; Poaceae.
AUGGAAAAACAUCUUGUAAUGUAUUUAACCAUAAAAUCGAUUAUGCUCCUACGGAAGUAUCUACUCGUAACGGAAUUUCAGGUGUCAAAGUGCGGAUCUCAUAUAGUCAAAAUAAGAAGGGACGUGCUAUAUCCGAAACGUACGAAAUAUAGUAAAUAUUUUAAAUGCAGAUGUAGUAGGGGUCGCGAACCGGAUGGUACACAACUUGGUUUUGGAAGAUAUGGCACCAAAAGUUGUAGAGCUGGUCGUCUUUCAUAUCGAGUCAUUGAAGCAGCACGUCGGGCUACAAUCGAACAAUUCCAUCGUGCUAUGAGCGGACAAUUCCGAAGAAAUUGUAAGAUAUGGGUAAGAGUUCUCGCAGAUCUUCCUAUUAUGGGGAAACCCGCAGAAGUUCGAAUGGGAAGAGGAAAAGGAAAUCCGACGGGUUGGAUUUCUCGUGUGUCCACGGGACAAAUCCCAUUUGAAAUGGAUGGUGUGAGUUUGUCAAAUGCUCGACAAGCCGCUAGAUUAGCGACACAUAAACCAUGUUCGUCAACCAAGUUUGUUCAGUGGUCGUAA